UGCAGGGGUUGGGGGAAUGUGGAGCCUAGCCACGUGGGGCAGCCUGACUGGAGGAGGAGAGGGAGAGAAACAACAAACAAAUGUGACAAAUUUUUGAAAGGAUUCUACAUUGUUUCUUUCACAAAUGAGUUCUCCUGCUUUGUUGUCAUACAACUUGACAUCCCACUGAUUACAAUAUGUGGUUUUCCUUUGCUCAUCAAUUUGAACUGGUGAUAUACAAGGACAUAGAGGACCAAUAGCCAGAGGGUGAAAGAUCUCAACUCUUACCUCUAUCUAAUGGCUGGUAUUCAGCCAUGAACCCAAGAUUUGUAGCAGAAGAGACUCUGAAUUUGACAUAGAGAUAAUUCCGUGUGGACUGCACUGCUGAUGGUAUAUCUGUGCCACAGUAUUUUGCCAAAAGAGGAGAAUCUGUGCUGCUGCCAUCUCUGACCUGAAGACAAUGUAUUCAAAACAGCCCAUGAAAACUUGUUUCUGUUACUGUUAAGUAGUUAUAAAAUGUAGACGAAUUGACUCAACACACACAAACUACAAAAUAGUCUUGGAAACCAGUAGGAAGAGCUAAAAGGUCAAAAGCCACCAUGGAAAAGACAGUGGCUCAUCCACCUCAUUAAACUAUUCAGCAGCUCAGAUCCUAUCCAACAUUAAUACAUAUUUGUGUCACCAGCACAGUGGCCUUAAAGCUGCUGUGAAGGGGCAGCUGAACAUUCUUCUGGCAUAAAGGAAUCAGAUGGAGUAAAGCUGACAUUCCAGCUGCCUGGAGCUCUUCACCAGUAGGUAGCACAUGGGAUACAAGGAGAGGAGAAUCAGGCCUUAUCUAUCCAGAUAUAGUUAUGCAUCAAUGAUAGCUCCUAUUAUAGAAAAUAUAGAUGGAGAAAGGUCAUGUUAUCAAAGGAGCAUUCAAAAGAAGAAGGUUGACUCACCUAGUGAGUCAGCAAAAGAUUUCAUUUGUCCAACGAAAUCGGUGUUUAUGUACCUAAUUACCUAUUCACCCACGUUUGCUUAUUGACAGACAUAGGUACAUGAUGGAGGCGUGCAUAUGAUAUUUGUUUGUAAUUCACAAUAAGUAUGUACUAAUAUGCUUUACCUCCACAUAAUCUGAGUCACAGGUAGUGCUAUUUCGAAUGCCAAAAUCGAUAAAAUUAAGAAUGACUGCAUUGUCUUCUGGCUGGAAAAUGAUCCACUCACAGGUCUUCUGAUGAGGGAAAGCCCUGGGAUAGUAUGGGGAACGAAUAACACCGUCUCCAGACAAUACACCCCCACAGGCUGCAAUGAAAAAUUAAGAGUUAGCAGCUGGAAUGAAGGUUUACAAGGAAUGUACAUUGGGAUGUAGAUUAAAUGUCAUUUUGGGGGGAGGAAGCAAAUAACCCUUGAAAACACACAUUUCCAUCUACUGUGGAUAUUUCAGGUAGGUUUAAGAGGGGGCUGUUUGUUUAAAAAGUCGCUGUUAUGUGACUAAACCUAAACCUGCAUAACUGAAUGUGAAACAGCAGUGAAAUCAUGUCCAUGAAAACUCCAAAUGAAAAUACACAUUUGUCUCCUUCUCGAGAUUUGACUGUAUUUGGUUUCACAGACUUGUGCAGAAGGGAUGAGGGAAGAGGAUGGCAUACAACAGGAGAGGAGUGGUCAAUGUCUCAUCCUUUGGUGGUGAAUCUGGAAAAAGGAGUGUUGAAAGUGGACAAAUUUACAAGGCAGAAGUAAAGUUAUUCAUUAUCUGCCAUAUUUGGUGCUUGUGCUAGUGAUGAGUGGUCUACUGUUGCAGAGAAAAAUUGAGGUUAUACAGCAUGUAUUUUAAGUUAUGUUAAGGGUGCCCACUGUAUAUGGAUAGCCAUCCUUUUAAGCAUUUCUAUCAAUAAAUCAAUAAAUGUA
Molecule: long non-coding RNA, 1866 nt
Organism: Gopherus evgoodei (Goodes thornscrub tortoise)
Lineage: Eukaryota; Metazoa; Chordata; Testudines; Testudinidae
Exons: 2
Source: RefSeq, a predicted model, not a curated record